GUUGCCUUCUUCUCUGCCCUCUGCUCCUCAGAUUGGACCUGGCCUGUGGACAGAAGUAUGUAUCCUUGGUCUCAUGCCCUUAGGACCCUCCUGAGAGGAGCUGCCCAUGAGUAAUGGAUGAGUCCUGUGGACAGGAGGAUGGCUCCAUAUUCUGGUGCCCAUAGGACUGUGCUGAGGCGGAGCAGCAGCCCUGUAUUGGCGGAGGCCCAUGGACACCAAGAUGGCUCCAUGCUCAGGUGUGAUAACCCCAUGGUGGGCGGGAGAUGCAGAGAAGUAUUGGACCUGGCCUGUGGAAAGGAGGCUGGCUCCAUGUUCUCAGGCCCUUAGGACCCUCCUGAGAGGAGCUGCCCAUGAGUAAUGGAUGCGUCCUGUGGACAGGAGGAUGGCUCCAUAUUCUGGUGCCCAUAGGACUGUGCUUAGGCGGAGCAGCAGCCCUGUAUUGGAGUAAGCCAAUGGACACCAAGAUGGCUCCAUGCUUAGAUGAGCCCGUUGUGGGCGGGGGCUGCAGAGAAGUAUUGGACAUAGCCUGGGGACAGGAGGAUGGCUUUGUGGUUUGCUGCCCUUCAGACACACAGAGAGGAGCGGCCCAUCAGUAAUGGAUGCGUCCUGUGGACAGGAGGAUGGCUCCAUGGACUGGUGCCCUAAGGAUCAUGCUGAGGCGGAUCAUCAGCCCCAUAUUGGACGAAGCUGAUGGACACCAAGAUGGCUCCAUGCUUCGAUGAGCCCAUAGCGGGCGGGCGCUGCAGAGAAGUGUGAGUCGUGGUCAGUGGUCCCCUGUUGGCAGGGGUGGCAUUCUGAGAGCUUCUCCUCAUUUCAGUUGUGAUUUACUCAGUCAAUGAAUGAGAGAGUAGCCCCUUGGGUGAAAAAUGAGGACCCAUAGUGAGUCGAUGAUGACUGUGGAGGUGUACGAGUGAGGACAGUGACUUGCCUCUGGAUCUGAGUUCCUUCCCUGAGUGCAAUGCACGAGGAUUGCAGAACAGUCUCAGUGUGGGAGAUGCCAAGGGCAGGGUCACAUAUAUUAUUAUUUGUUACCUUUUCUGCCCUCUGUUUCUCAGAUUCAUCUUGGCCUGUGGACAGGAGGUUGGCUCCUUGGUCUCGUGCCCUUAGGACCUUCCUGAGAGGAGCGGCCCAUCAGUAAUGGAUGCAUCUUCUGGACAGGAGGAUGGUUCUAUGGACAGUUGCCCUAAGGAUCGCGCUCUGGCGGAGCAGCAGCCCUGUAUUGGACGAGGCUGAUGGACACCCAGAUGACUCCAUGCUCAAGUGUAAUGAGCCCAUUGCGUGUGGGGGCUGCAAAGAAGUAUUGGAAUUGGCCUGUGGACGGAGGAUGGCUCUAUGGUCUGGUGCUCCUUGGACCCUCCUGAGGGGAGCUGCCCCUGAGUAAGGGCUGGCUUUGCUGGUUGUGCGGCUCCUCCUGCAUCACUGCUGUUGGCCUCCAGUUUGGAGCUUGUGGACAACAUGAGUCCUGACCUUCACUCCAGUCCUCAUGAAAUCAACUUCGUACACUCCACUUUAUUGCUCAUUAAAUGAGUAACUUGUGAAAGCCGAGCAGCAGGGAUCCACGGGCGGAGGGCCUGAGCUUUGCUGCCAUGUCUUCUGGGGCAUUCCCCAGGAUGGGCACCCUUGGCCGGCCGGACCCUCUCAGAUGAUGGUCUUGGCUGCCAAAUCCCCAGUCAGCAGAGGGACCUCACAAGGAGUGUUCGGAGUUCUUGCCUUGGGUGGACGGCUUGCUCCUAGAAUGCACACGACUCCAGUCAAUAACCUUUCUGUAAUGAUGACGUCCUUUGUGGUUCAAUGGUGCCUGUACCAUGCUGAUUAAAUUAUCCUCCAGUCGUGAAGGGUGUGCCUUUCCCUCUGGGUAAGGAGAAUAUCAUACAAUGUGGAUAGACCUCAGCUGUCUUACUCGUGAUUUAAGAAUCACGUGUGUCACCUAUGUGACAAAGGACAAUAUAGAUGGGGGAGACGGGAGAGUUCAAAGAGCUCUAGGAAGAAUGUCAGUUGGGGCAGGCCAGGCCAGGCUCGUCCACGAACCGCUAAGGCCACGAAACACGUCCUUCUACCAGGGAGCGGACAGAUGGAGGUGUCCUGGCUUUGCAGGGGCCACCUGCUACAGAGCAGCUGAGGCUGCAGCUGGGGGCCACAGAAGAGUGAGCGGCCCGGAGGGGUGCACAGGGCAGAUAGUGGGUGUCCGGGGACAUGUGGUCAGAAGGCUCAGCUGCAAAGGAAGUCCAUUUCAUUCUUACUCCCAAGGAGAGCGCUGGGCUGAGCUCAGUGACAGACGACCCUGAUCCAAAUGAGAGUGGCUACACCAAAGGACCGCUGCCCAGCCCAGGACGGGAGCACCGCCUGGGGGUACCUCGGAGCCUGGGGGAGUGCCGACCGACCCAGGGAGCAGGCCCUGUGGAUGUCCUCCAGCAUGGAGCCCCUGGAGAUGUGGCUGCGAGCCGCUGGCUUCCCAGAGGAUGACGGCCCUGGGUGUAGUAGCACCUCUGCAGGGUGAGCUGUGCUUUUCCUGACUCUUCUCUGCAUGCUGUGUGCCUGUGGCAAGGGCCAGUCGAGGACAUGUGGAGACUGCAGUGGUCAUAGAUGAGCUUUACGCAGGGCCAGGGUGUGUGUGAAUGCCUCCGAGAGGGGCCACGAUCCAUGCGCCUCUCCCGGAGCCUUAGUGUGCAGAGGCUGGGCCAUUUCUGGCAGCUGCUUCUCCAAGUAGAGGCCAGGGCUGGCCAGAGAAGUCCCUCGUCUCUGGUCCCUCCAAGGGGUGGAGGCUCUGCAUCCUUGCAGUGUCCUUUCAAACAGCUUGAGUUGGGGCUCAAGGUUACCUUCCCACCUGUGCCUGAGUCUCUAAUUAUGCAGACAAUUGCACUCUGUUAGCUGAUUACGUCACAGAGAACGCAAAACACAGGAGCAUUGAGUUUUUCUCAUCAAAGACCCUAGAGCAAUUAAGGUCACAUACAAUAAUAAUUUUAAAUAAUAUGUUUUUUUUCUUAUUACCAAAAAAAUACGAGAGAAUCUUCUUGGUCCCACUACUCAAAGACAACCACUGCCCACAUUUGGUGACCAGCCUCUGUUUUCUUGUUUACUUCUGAAAAUUAGGAGUGUGUGUGUGUGUGUGUGUGUGUGUGUGUGUGUGUGUGUGUGUGUGUGAUUGAACUCUUCACUGUUAUCCUGUAUCUUUACCAAACUAUACUAUUAAGUGGUUUCCUGUUCUGUGUUCCUUAAUGGUGACAGAGUCUUCUAGCUACCGACUGUAUCACAGUCAGCUUCGUGGGUUUGCUUUUGUUGGCAUUAGGAUGCACUUAAAAUCCAAAUUCUGCAGUUCAAGGUGGGCUUCUGUGUUCACCCUCAUAUCUCUGGUUCAUUCCCCGCAGUUCAUUCUGAAAGCCCAGCAGCGCGAGUGCCUUGUGGCCAAUCUGCCCCCACCCUAACUUCAUGGCCACGUGUGUUCUGGAGUCAGCUUGAGCAGCAUCCAUUUCUCUGGGGAUUGCCAAAGUCUGUGCCUUUGCAGGUCUGAUGUGGGACUUCUGUUUCUCGGUCUGAGCUCCUUUUGCACCUGUGUCUGAAGAACUCCCUGCUUCUUCUUUGCUUAUUUGUAUCUGAAUUGCCAGCUCAGGCUUUGCCCUUCUCAGUUUCUCACUUAGUUUUUACUUUUGUCAAAGUUAUGCAUACGCCUCGUUUUAAGAGUCAGAUAGUUCUGUGCCAUUGUCACAGGAGCAUCCGCCCUCCCACCUUCCCGGCUCCACCCAGGUUUUCCGCACUGUAGCGGCAGCUUACAAUUCCCUGGCUGAUUCUUUUGACAUUUACAUCCAUAAUUCUAAGUAAUAUUCUUAUUUUUCUACUUCAUGAUUUUCUUUUCUUAUUUUUCUUAAAAGCUUAGCCAUUUGUCUUGACUUAAAAAAAAAAAAAAAAGCUCAGGCAUUGUCUU
Non-coding RNA from Ictidomys tridecemlineatus (thirteen-lined ground squirrel), 3919 nucleotides. The record is from RefSeq and is a predicted model, not a curated record. NCBI's taxonomy places the organism in Eukaryota, Metazoa, Chordata, Mammalia, Rodentia, Sciuridae.